CCUACGGGGUGCUGCAGUGGGGGAUAUUGCACAAUGGGGGAAACCCUGAUGCAGCGACGCCGCGUGGGUGAAGAAGCGCCUCGGCGCGUAAAGCCCUGUCAGCAGGGAAGAAAAUGACGGUACCUGAAGAAGAAGCCCCGGCUAACUACGUGCCAGCAGCCGCGGUAAUACGUAGGGGGCAAGCGGUAUCCGGAUUUACUGGGUGUAAAGGGGGCGCAGACGGCGAUGCAAGCCAGGAGUGAAAGCCCGGGGCCCAACCCCGGGACUGCUCUUGGAACUGCGGGGCUAGAGUGCAGGAGGGGCAGGCGGAAUUCCUGGUGUAGCGGUGAAAUGCGUAGAUAUCAGGAGGAACACCGGUGGCGAAGGCGGCCUGCUGGACUGCAACUGACGUUGAGGCCCGAAAGCGUGGGGAGCAAACAGGAUUAGAUACCCCAGUAGUC
This 440-nucleotide ribosomal RNA is filed under the name uncultured bacterium. RNAcentral describes it as "partial 16S ribosomal RNA". It matches the Rfam family "Bacterial small subunit ribosomal RNA", at positions 338 to 795 of the family's 1533-position model. The record is from RNAcentral.